GCCUAGAGUGGUCCUUUAAGCAUAAUGUUAUCUUUCUGUUCUUUCUAACAUAUCCAGACCUAGUCAGACUCCCUUGACACAAUAUAUACUUUUUAUUGUGCAGAAGUCCAGAUUUCAGAAAUUUGGAUGAUUGCAAAGCUUUGCUAUGAGUAAUGAAAUUACUAAAUGCUAGAACUUCAGUUCUCAUCAUCUCUAUCACCAGGAACAGAUGACUACCGAGGCCGCUUCGUGUUUUUUUAUUUUUUUUAAACUAAUUUUCUCUUCAGUGGUCAGUUAUUUGCAUAAGUGGGAUUAUCAGUGUCUUUCAUGGUUGGAAUGGAUCAGUUCUAUAAAAAAUGUCUAUACUCCCACACUUGCUUUUCUAGUUUUAAAGGAGCACUAUAGGGUGAGGAACACAAACAUGUAUUCCUGACCCGAUAGGGUUAAAACCAUCAUCUAGCCACCCUGGUCCCUUCAUGCCUCUGGUUUCAUGCAAAAUGUAGGAGACGUCUGGCUGAGCCAAACCUUUGUUCAAGCUACACUGUUGACCCGGCACAGUUUGGGAAGUAUGUACUUUGUGACUACUGGCCCAAGUCCAAACUAACACUUAGGGACAAUCCUGACUUCGCCAUUGGGAUCCAUGGUCCACUUUUACACCUGCUCUCAGACACAUCUAUUACUAUUGUUCAUCAAAUUUUACAGGCCCCAUAGUUAGUUGUGCCCCUGUGUGGGCUAUUUCUGGAUACUCCCUGCAUUUUUCUUCACAUAUUCACUCGUGCUCAAAUCUUGCAUGUAAGUGGAACCCUCACCGACAUUUUCUUACCACAUUCGAGACAUUAUUCUCUGUCUUUCGAUCUGAACAUGUUGGUAAGUAAUCAAUGCUCGCUCCACCCACACCGUACUAAUAAGUCAUCUGCAUGUUACAUUCAUUGAUGAUGACUCUCCUAAGAUCAUUGUAGUCACUGAAAAAGAAAAAUGUCCAGGCACUCCAAGGCUUAGAUAGGCAUUUUAUUGAACUACAGUCUCCAGCAGCAAUGCUUCGACCCAAGGGAAAACCUAAAUUUUGCCAAAACGUGUUCAGUUGGUUCAGAAGGUUAAUGAAAUUUGGCAGUACUAUGACUUGUUUGGGCUAGUGAGUGUUACACGUGGUAAUGGUUCUACAGGCUGGAGUUCCUCUCCUCUGCAGAAGCUGCUAGGUAUCUUGAUGUCCACCAUUAUAAUUCCCGAAAAUGAGACAGUCUGGUAUAAUCUGCACACAUGGUUUGCUGCCACCUGUGGCUAUAUGUGUUUCCCUACACCUUUAACUGUUUACGUCCUAUGCACCGUUUUCCCACACUCUCCUUCCCCACCUCCCCCCCCCCUCUUUCUUUUCACUCCCUUAUUCCCUAUACAUCUUCAAUACUUGUUUCUACUCUUCUCUGGCCAUAGCUCUUCCCUUUCUGUAACCUUCUACCUGUGUUAAGCUUUCAUUUUGCUAUCUGAUUUGUUUGUGUAUAAGCCCAUUUUUAUACUGGAUAUGCCUCAGUUUGCACCUUUGGCUAAGUUGUGUAGCAAAACCAGGGUUAGUUGCACUCUCUCUUGACACAUCAUUAUUGCCAUACUAUUAUAAUUUAUCUAUUCACCUCAAUACAAACCAAGUUUAUUAUUUUGCUGAACAUAAUGUAUUUAUAUGUCUGUUCUCUAUAAGUGCCUAUCACGCUAUUGCAUUUUAUGUAUACUUGAUCUUU
Molecule: non-coding RNA, 1706 nt
Organism: Pelobates cultripes (western spadefoot toad)
Lineage: Eukaryota; Metazoa; Chordata; Amphibia; Anura; Pelobatidae
Source: the annotation of a GenBank genome assembly